This 1138-nucleotide ribosomal RNA is filed under the name Neorhizobium petrolearium. RNAcentral describes it as "bacterial SSU rRNA". It matches the Rfam family "Bacterial small subunit ribosomal RNA", at positions 55 to 1247 of the family's 1533-position model. The record is from RNAcentral. Lineage: Bacteria; Pseudomonadati; Pseudomonadota; Alphaproteobacteria; Hyphomicrobiales; Rhizobiaceae.
AUGCAGUCGAGCGCGUAUCAUACGAGCGGCAGACGGGUGAGUAACACGUGGGAACAUACCCUUUACUACGGAAUAACGCAGGGAAACUUGUGCUAAUACCGUAUGUGCCCUUAGGGGGAAAGAUUUAUCGGGAAAGGAUCGGCCCGCGUUGGAUUAGCUAGUUGGUGGGGUAAAGGCCUACCAAGGCGACGAUCCAUAGCUGGUCUGAGAGGAUGAUCAGCCACAUUGGGACUGAGACACGGCCCAAACUCCUACGGGAGGCAGCAGUGGGGAAUAUUGGACAAUGGGCGCAAGCCUGAUCCAGCCAUGCCGCGUGAGUGAUGAAGGCCCUAGGGUUGUAAAGCUCUUUCACCGGGGAAGAUAAUGACGGUAUCCGGAGAAGAAGCCCCGGCUAACUUCGUGCCAGCAGCCGCGGUAAUACGAAGGGGGCUAGCGUUGUUCGGAAUUACUGGGCGUAAAGCGCACGUAGGCGGACAUUUAAGUCAGGGGUGAAAUCCCGGGGCUCAACCCCGGAACUGCCUUUGAUACUGGGUGUCUUGAGUGUGGAAGAGGUCAGUGGAAUUGCGAGUGUAGAGGUGAAAUUCGUAGAUAUUCGCAGGAACACCAGUGGCGAAAGCGGCUGACUGGUCCAUUACUGACGCUGAGGUGCGAAAGCGUGUGGAGCAAACAGGAUUAGAUACCCUGGUAGUCCACGCCGUAAACGAUGAAUGUUAGCCGUCGGCAAGUUUACUGGUCGGUGGCGCAGCUAACGCAUUAAACAUUCCGCCUGGGGAGUACGGUCGCAAGAUUAAAACUCAAGGAAUUGACGGGGGCCCGCACAAGCGGUGGAGCAUGUGGUUUAAUUCGAAGCAACGCGCAGAACCUUACCAGCCCUUGACAUCCUGUGACCGGUACAGAGAUUUACCUUUCCCUUCGGGGACGCGACACAGGUGCUGCAUGGCUGUCGUCACCUCGUGUCGUGAGAUGUUGGGUUAAGUCCCGCAACGAGCGCAACCCUCGCCCUUAUUUGCCAGCAUUUGGUUGGGCACUCUAAGGGGACUGCCGGUGAUAAGCCCACAGGAAGGUGGGGAUGACGUCAAGUCCUCAUGGCCCUUACCGGCUGGGCUACACACCUGCUACAAUGAUGGUGACAGUGGGC